CGAACGGGUAGUAACACGUGAGCAACCUGCCUUUCAGUGGGGGACAACAUUUGGAAACGAAUGCUAAUACCGCAUAAGACCACAGUGUCGCAUGGCACAGGGGUCAAAGGAUUUAUCCGCUGAAAGAUGGGCUCGCGUCCGAUUAGCUAGAUGGUGAGGUAACGGCCCACCAGGCGACGAUCGGUAGCCGGACUGAGAGGUUGAACGGCCACAUUGGGACUGAGACACGGCCCAGACUCCUACGGGAGGCAGCAGUGGGGAAUAUUGCACAAUGGGGGAAACCCUGAUGCAGCGACGCCGCGUGGAGGAAGAAGGUCUUCGGAUUGUAAACUCCUGUCCCAGGGGACGAUAAUGACGGUACCCUGGGAGGAAGCACCGGCUAACUACGUGCCAGCAGCCGCGGUAAAACGUAGGGUGCAAGCGUUGUCCGGAAUUACUGGGUGUAAAGGGAGCGCAGGCGGAUUGACAAGUUGGGAGUGAAAUCUAUGGGCUCAACCCAUAAAUUGCUUUCAAAACUGUCAGUCUUGAGUGGUGUAGAGGUAGGCGGAAUUCCCG
RNAcentral lists this ribosomal RNA (555 nucleotides) under bacterium L4M2 4-3. RNAcentral's name for it is "bacterial SSU rRNA". It matches the Rfam family "Bacterial small subunit ribosomal RNA", at positions 99 to 672 of the family's 1533-position model. The record is from RNAcentral.